GGGUUCAGGAGGUCACCAGGUCGAUUCGAACAACACCUACAUGGCUCUGCAACAUCCCACUCAGUCCAUCUACGGUCAUCUCCAAGCUGACAAUAAGCCACUGUCUACCAGCUGAACCACAGUGAGAAUCAUUUGUGUGGCCUCAGCUGGGGGGAGGAGCCCCGGAUGGAUUUCUGCACAGACACACUCAUCGGACG
Long non-coding RNA from Hypanus sabinus (Atlantic stingray), 197 nucleotides. RefSeq lists it as uncharacterized. The transcript is spliced from 3 exons. Lineage: Eukaryota; Metazoa; Chordata; Chondrichthyes; Myliobatiformes; Dasyatidae. The record is from RefSeq and is a predicted model, not a curated record.